GAUGAAGAACGCAGCGAAAUGCGAUACGUAAUGUGAAUUGCAGAAUUCAGUGAAUCAUCGAAUCUUUGAACGCACAUUGCGCUCUCUGGUAUUCCGGAGAGCAUGCUUGUUUGAGUAUCAGUAAACACCUCAACUCCUUUAUUGUAGUUGGACUUGAGCUAUCCCAACAGGACUUUUUGUUCCUGGCGGGAGGCUUGAAAUGCAGGUGCAGCUGGACUUUCUUCUGAGCUAUAAGCAUAUUUAUUUAAUCCCUUAACACGGAUUAUUACUUUUUUGCUGCAGCUAACAUAAAGGUUGAAUUUCCAUUGAGCUGACUGAUGCAGGAAUUUGGCAAGGAAUUUUUUAAUGACUUGUUAAACUCGAUCUCAAAUCAAGUAAGACUACCCGCUGAACUUAAGCAUAUCAAUAAGCGGAGGA
This 417-nucleotide unclassified non-coding RNA is filed under the name soil metagenome. RNAcentral describes it as "partial contains 5.8S ribosomal RNA, internal transcribed spacer 2, and large subunit ribosomal RNA". The stretch from base 1 to 120 matches the Rfam family "5.8S ribosomal RNA", at positions 35 to 154 of the family's 154-position model. The record is from RNAcentral.